RNAcentral lists this ribosomal RNA (253 nucleotides) under uncultured bacterium. Its description in RNAcentral is "partial 16S ribosomal RNA". It matches the Rfam family "Bacterial small subunit ribosomal RNA", at positions 524 to 776 of the family's 1533-position model. The record is from RNAcentral.
GACAGAGGGGGCAAGAGUUAUCCGGAAUUAUUGGGCGUAAAGCGUUCGUAGGAGGUUUGACAAGUCUGGGGUUAAAGCCUGGAGCCGAACUCCGGAUCGGCCCUGGAAACUGUCAGACUUGAGUAAGGUAGGGGUUGCGGGAAGUCCCGGGGUGGCGGUGAAAUGCGUAGAUAUCGGGAAGAACGCCAGCGGCGAAAGCGCGCAACUGGGCCAUUACUGACGCUGAGGGACGAAAGCUAGGGGAGCGAAUGGG